UACGGGGGAUGCAAGCGUUAUCCGGAAUCAUUGGGCGUAAAGCGUCUGUAGGUUGUUUAAUAAGUCUGUUGUUAAAGACUAGGGCUCAACCCUAGAAAAGCAAUGGUAACUACUAGACUUGAGUAUGGCAGGGGUAGAGGGAAUUUCUAGUGUAGCGGUGAAAUGCGUAGAUAUUAGAAAGAACACCAGCGGCGAAAGCGCUCUACUGGACCAUUACUGACACUCAGAGACGAAAGCUAGGGUAGCAAAAGGGAUUAGAUACCCCUGUAGUCCUAGCCGUAAACGAUGAACACUAGGUGUCGGGGGAUCGCCCCGGUGUCGUAGCCAACGCGUUAAGUGUUCCGCCUGGGGAGUACGCACGCAAGUGUG
Molecule: ribosomal RNA, 369 nt
Filed under: uncultured phototrophic eukaryote
Lineage: Eukaryota
Description: SSU rRNA
Rfam family: Bacterial small subunit ribosomal RNA
Source: RNAcentral